Molecule: unclassified non-coding RNA, 577 nt
Filed under: Hevea brasiliensis (rubber tree)
Lineage: Eukaryota; Viridiplantae; Streptophyta; Magnoliopsida; Malpighiales; Euphorbiaceae
Source: RNAcentral
AUCAAACAAUCUUUAUUACAUUCACUUUCUUAUCUCGUUAGCGGUAAACGAAACUAUGAAUUAUUAAAAUAGAAAACAUAUGUUCAACAAUGGAGAAAAUAAGUCAAUAAAGCCACUAUUUUUUUCCCUAAUGCAAAAUGUGCAGCUUGAUCGAUCAGUCUGUCAUUCCUUGAACAAGCUCACCAUUUGCAUGAGUAUACCACUGAUAUAAUCACCAAUGUUCUUCCUCCCAGAAACAUGGCCUGACAUAAUCCCAAUGUUGUUCCUCCCAAAAACAUGGCCUUCUAUUGGAGGAAGUUGAAAUUUCAGUCCUUAACGAUUUCUAUACCUUCAACUCCACCUCUUACCCAACCAUUGCUAUCAUCUUCUAAAUCGCGAAUAUUUUCUACUCCAUCUAAAUACUCUUUACUGACUCUACUGUAAUCCAUCCAUCUUCUAUUUCUAGAUUUCUCCAUGAUUGUUCAAGAUAUUCCUUAUUUUUCUCUUAGUGCACUUCAGUUCAAGCAGAAGGAAAAAUUGAUGCGUGCUUCAGCUCAAAUCCUUGGAAAAAUUGAUGCGUGCUUCAGCUCAAAUCCUU